RNAcentral lists this long non-coding RNA (263 nucleotides) under Dasypus novemcinctus (nine-banded armadillo). RNAcentral describes it as "lncRNA (ENSDNOG00000049967.1)". The record is from RNAcentral. Lineage: Eukaryota; Metazoa; Chordata; Mammalia; Cingulata; Dasypodidae.
GAGCCUGAAGAAAUGUUUAGUCAGGUUUGAGACAUGAUUGUUAACUACUUUUUUUUUUUUGGCAGAUUCUAAAAAUUUAUUUCCACAAAUCAUAUUUCCAGAGAAAAUCCAAGCAAACACAAGUGAUAAUUCAGAAGUUGAAUACUUGUUCUGGACUCUCUAGGAACAAAUAUCCUAUAUUAUUCCAAUAGAUGAGAAGCCUUAUACUGUGCACCUUAAGCAGAGGUAAUUUUUUUAUUCCUUAGUUAUGGAUUCAAUUUUAU